AAAAGAAGUAAAGCGAUAUGGAGAAACCGGGUCAGUCGAAAGAAUUAGAAGCCAACAAGCUGUUCGAAGCUAUGUUCCGAGCAUUUCAUCUCGCGCUGUGAUCCAACGAAAGAUCACCCACUACCAUCCAUAUUUCACCACAAGAUUUUUAAGACCACUAACUUUGACCAAUCAUCAGAUGCAUCAAAAGAAGUAACUGACAAUCUCCAUUUGAAUACUGAUUCAGAAAAUACAGGCAUAUCAGAUUCAGAACGUUCAGAUUCAGCUGAAAAUUCAAGCUUUAAUGUUGAUGCAAACCUAUCUGUGUUGGACACAUCCGUAUUAAUGCACGAUUACUGUGACUCCAUAGAAUUUGCAACUAUGUCCCAUUUGAAGAAUCAAUUCACAAAAGUAGAUGUUCCACAGAAAGAAAAUGUUUGUAUUCAGACUGCAGAAAGCUUUUGUGACACUUCUAGGAAAAUUUCAGUUUCUUCAAAUAUUUCUUGUGACAGUAGUACUAGUGCAGCCUUACCUUUCUUAACAAUGAAGACUUGCAACAGGAUGUUUCAUUUUACACAGGUUUGCCAAACAAAGAGACAUUUUAUUUACUGUUUCAACAUCUAACAUCGUAUGAAAAGUGUGCAGAUUCUGAUACAGGAGGAAGACCGAAGAAGAUGCGAGACGUGGAUGAAUUUCUUAUGGUACUAAUGCGUUUAAGACUAGAACUAUUGCUUCAAGAUUUAGCAAGAAGGUUUGAUAUAUCAAUGUCUACUUGCAGUAACAUAUUUAAUGAAUGGUUAUAUUU
Molecule: long non-coding RNA, 784 nt
Organism: Ostrea edulis (European flat oyster)
Lineage: Eukaryota; Metazoa; Mollusca; Bivalvia; Ostreida; Ostreidae
Exons: 2
Source: RefSeq, a predicted model, not a curated record